Molecule: ribosomal RNA, 480 nt
Filed under: uncultured bacterium
Lineage: Bacteria
Description: partial 16S ribosomal RNA
Rfam family: Bacterial small subunit ribosomal RNA
Source: RNAcentral
GACGAACGCUGGCGGCGCGCUUAACACAUGCAAGUCGAGCGAUGAAACUUUAACAGACCCCUUCGGGGCGAAGAUAAAGUGGAUUAUCGCCCGACGGUUGAGUAACACGUAGGUAACCUGCCUUAUACAUUGGGAUAGCUUCUGGAAACCGGGAUUAAUACCAAAUAAAAUCAUAAUGACACAUGUCAUAACGAUCAACACUCCAGUGGUCUAAGAUGUACUCGCUUCCCAUUAGCUAGUUGGUAGAGUAAAAGCCUACCAAGGCGACGAUGGGUAGCCGGCAUGAGAGGGUGACCGGCACCACUGGAAGUGGGAAACGGUCCAAACUCCUACGGGAGGCAGCAGUGGGGAAUAUUGCACAAUGGAGGGAACUCUGAUGCAGCGACGCCGCGUGAACGAAGAAGGCUUUAGAGUCGUAAAGUUCUUUUAUAUGGGAAGAUAAUGACGGUACCAUAAGAAAAAGCCCCGGCUAACUACGUG